RNAcentral lists this ribosomal RNA (352 nucleotides) under Burkholderia sp. 10-18. Its description in RNAcentral is "bacterial SSU rRNA". It matches the Rfam family "Bacterial small subunit ribosomal RNA", at positions 383 to 727 of the family's 1533-position model. The record is from RNAcentral. Lineage: Bacteria; Pseudomonadati; Pseudomonadota; Betaproteobacteria; Burkholderiales; Burkholderiaceae.
CUGAUCCAGCAAUGCCGCGUGUGUGAAGAAGGCCUUCGGGUUGUAAAGCUCUUUUGUCCGGAAAGAAAUCCUUGGCUCUAAUACAGUCGGGGGAUGACGGUACCGUGAAGAAUAAGCACCGGCUAACUACGUGCCAGCAGCCGCGGUAAUACGUAGGGUGCGAGCGUUAAUCGGAAUUACUGGGCGUAAAGCGUGCGCAGGCGGUUUGCUAAGACCGAUGUGAAAUCCCCGGGCUCAACCUGGGAACUGCAUUGGUGACUGGCAGGCUAGAGUAUGGCAGAGGGGGGUAGAAUUCCACGUGUAGCAGUGAAAUGCGUAGAGAUAUGGAGGAAUACCGAUAGCGAAAGCACCC